Molecule: ribosomal RNA, 241 nt
Filed under: uncultured bacterium
Lineage: Bacteria
Description: partial 16S ribosomal RNA
Rfam family: Bacterial small subunit ribosomal RNA
Source: RNAcentral
UGGGUUUGACAUACGCCGGAAAGCAUCAGAGAUGGUGCCCCUUUUUGUCGGUGUACAGGUGGUGCAUGGCUGUCGUCAGCUCGUGUCGUGAGAUGUUGGGUUAAGUCCCGCAACGAGCGCAACCCUCGUUCCAUGUUGCCAGCAGGCCCUUCGGGGUGCUGGGGACUCAUGGGAGACUGCCGGGGUCAACUCGGAGGAAGGUGGGGAUGACGUCAAGUCAUCAUGCCCCUUAUGUCCAGGG